This 546-nucleotide ribosomal RNA is filed under the name uncultured Funneliformis. RNAcentral's name for it is "SSU rRNA". It matches the Rfam family "Eukaryotic small subunit ribosomal RNA", at positions 548 to 1098 of the family's 1831-position model. Lineage: Eukaryota; Fungi; Glomeromycota; Glomeromycetes; Glomerales; Glomeraceae. The record is from RNAcentral.
UUGGAGGGCAAGUCUGGUGCCAGCAGCCGCGGUAAUUCCAGCUCCAAUAGCGUAUAUUAAAGUUGUUGCAGUUAAAAAGCUCGUAGUUGAAUUUCGGGAUCAAUUUGUUGGUCGUGCCUCGGUACGUACUGGCAUUAUUGGUUUCUACCUUCUGAAGAACCUUGAUGUCAUUAAUUUGGUGUCUUGGGGAAUCAGGACUGUUACUUUGAAAAAAUUAGAGUGUUUAAAGCAGGCAUACGCUUGAAUACAUUAGCAUGGAAUAAUGAAAUAGGACGUUUGAUUCUAUUUUGUUGGUUUCUAGGAUCGACGUAAUGAUUAAUAGGGAUAGUUGGGGGCAUUAGUAUUCAAUUGUCAGAGGUGAAAUUCUUGGAUUUAUUGAAGACUAACUACUGCGAAAGCAUUUGCCAAGGAUGUUUUCAUUAAUCAGGAACGAAAGUUAGGGGAUCGAAGACGAUCAGAUACCGUCGUAGUCUUAACCAUAAACUAUGCCGACUAGGGAUCGGAUGAUGUUAUUUUUAAUGACUCAUUCGGCGCCUUACGGGAAAC